GAUGAAGAACGCAGCGAAAUGCGAUAAGUAAUGUGAAUUGCAGAAUUCAGUGAAUCAUCGAAUCUUUGAACGCACAUUGCGCCCGCCAGUAUUCUGGCGGGCAUGCCUGUUCGAGCGUCAUUUCAACCAUCAAGCCCCAGGCUUGUGUUGGGGACCUGCGGCUGCCGCAGGCCCUGAAAACCAGUGGCGGGCUCGCUGUCACACCGGGCGUAGUAGAUUUUAUCUCGCCCAGGGCGUGCUGCGGGUUCCGGCCGUUAAAAAGCCUUUUUUACCCAAGGUUGACCUCGGAUCAGGUAGGAAGACCCGCUGAACUUAAGCAUAUCAAUAAGCGGAGGA
RNAcentral lists this unclassified non-coding RNA (336 nucleotides) under soil metagenome. RNAcentral describes it as "partial contains 5.8S ribosomal RNA, internal transcribed spacer 2, and large subunit ribosomal RNA". The stretch from base 1 to 120 matches the Rfam family "5.8S ribosomal RNA", at positions 35 to 154 of the family's 154-position model. The record is from RNAcentral.